This 269-nucleotide ribosomal RNA is filed under the name uncultured prokaryote. RNAcentral describes it as "partial 16S ribosomal RNA". It matches the Rfam family "Archaeal small subunit ribosomal RNA", at positions 474 to 743 of the family's 1478-position model. The record is from RNAcentral.
AACCAGCACCUCAAGUGGUCAGGAUGAUUAUUGGGCCUAAAGCAUCCGUAGCCGGCUCUGUAAGUUUUCGGUUAAAUCUGUACGCUUAACGUACAGGCUGCCGGGAAUACUGCAGAGCUAGGGAGUGGGAGAGGUAGACGGUACUCGGUAGGAAGGGGUAAAAUCCUUUGAUCUAUUGAUGACCACCUGUGGCGAAGGCGGUCUACCAGAACACGUCCGACGGUGAGGGAUGAAAGCUGGGGGAGCAAACCGGAUUAGAUACCCCCGUA